GAGUGGUAGUUAUUUUAUGACAGAGUCAGGAGGGUGAAUGCUUUAACAAAAGCAAUUUAGAGGAUGGAUGGUUACUUCAUAAGUUCAAGAAGUUAUGAAAUAUGUCCUUUGUAAUCAUUGGUUCCCUGUUGUUUAUCUUUGUUCUCCAGUUCAUGAAUGACAUGAUCAUUAAAUGAUUGGUGUUAACUGUUGCAUCAUAAUUGGUUAUUUCAAAAGUUAGCAAGAUAUAUUGAUGCUAUGCUGUACCUAUGUGAGUUGUCAUUUUGAAUGCCUCCUGUGGACACAUACUGGCGUUUAACUGAGUGUGUGGUCUUUCCUUGUUAUGUAUUUACUGUGGACUUUGGUUAUAUAUUACUGGCUGUUGGUGUUCUUGAAGAAUGGAGACAGGAAUCGUUACUGGCAUUGCAUCUUAUUAUUAAUCCAAGCUUAAUAAUAUUUUUUGUGGGUAGCCUUCUCACAAGCUAUUUACAAUGUUAUACUAAAAAAUGUCCAGAUGUCCAGGUGUAAGAACGGUAAUUCACGAAUUGACACGACUACAUGACGAUGAUGCGUUACGGAAAAUAUUCGAAAGUAUAAAAUUAAGGAAAUUUGUAAAAUUUUACUGGCUAUAGUUGAAAUAAACAUCUCAAAAUAUCAUACAGGUAUACUAAAGGUUAGUAUUAAUACUGAACAUCAGUCAUCUACAAUUCAAGACCUACCGUAGGAUUAAAAUAGAAAGAUAUUGUAUAAAAUUCUGUUAUAAAGAUUCUGUAUUGAAGUGAAAAAAAAAAUUAUUUUUUGCUAAAA
This is a long non-coding RNA of Xenia sp. Carnegie-2017, 786 nucleotides long. RefSeq lists it as uncharacterized. The record is from RefSeq and is a predicted model, not a curated record. The transcript has 4 exons. Lineage: Eukaryota; Metazoa; Cnidaria; Anthozoa; Malacalcyonacea; Xeniidae.